Anneissia japonica is the source of this 901-nucleotide long non-coding RNA. RefSeq lists it as uncharacterized. The record is from RefSeq and is a predicted model, not a curated record. NCBI's taxonomy places the organism in Eukaryota, Metazoa, Echinodermata, Crinoidea, Comatulida, Comatulidae. The transcript has 3 exons.
AUACAUGUCAAGUGCCUAAUCAUAUCAAAAAGCAAUGUAUGAAAAUAUUUGAGUUUAUGUAUUACAGUAGAAACAUUACAGAUACAUAAAAAAAGUUAUUAUCAGUGAUUUUUAUGUUUAUAUUUAUUAGGAAAAGGCCAGAAAUGAAACAAUGUAGCCUAUGCCAUGCCGCUGUCGUUAUACUGGACAGGCACCUACAAAAAUGCCACGAUCUGAAGAAAAAUGAUGAAGAAUACAAAAAAGCAAAAAGGAAGUGUUAAGUUGCCUGUUGAAGAAUCUCAGAGCGACUUCAAGGAGUACCUGCUUACAAGCAGACAGCACAAACGCCGACAAGCCAAACAAACCAUUGCAGAAUUCAAUGCAAUCUCCGGAGGAAAAGAAAACGCCAAAUAUCUAAGGCAGUAAGUUUUUAAAAAUUUAACUAUUAUUAUCUAUACCCACAUUCUAUUACAUAAAGCAACCUUUAAUUUUUUUUUUUAUCAAAUCUUAUAUAUUUAUUGCAAUAUAAUAUAAAAAGUUUGAGAAAGUAUGGCAAGCCAGGAUGCAUUCAAUAUAUGCUUAAAUGUAAGACUAAUACCUUAAAACCUCGAAUUGAAGCCCUGGGCUUUCUUUUUUCUUUGCGAACUUUGGAUGGGUUUCUUUUCGAGAUGGGAUUCUUUUUAAGAUGGGCUUCUUUUCGAGACUACUUUUGCAAAAUAAAGAGGGGGCUUCUAAUCAAAAUGAAUGCCAUAAAUUGUUACUAUAAAACAAUAAACAUGGCAACUAUAACAUCAAUAUGUAUCAUAGAGUGUAUCUAACUGGCAUUAAAUCACCUAAACUACUGUAUAAACCAAGCUUGUUUUUCAGUUAUUUUUUCUGAAAUUCACUGUAUGUGACUGUAUAUCUUAAAAAGAAGCCUAUG